UACGAAGGGUGCAAGCGUUACUCGGAAUUACUGGGCGUAAAGCGUGCGUAGGUGGUUGUUUAAGUCUGUUGUGAAAGCCCUGGGCUCAACCUGGGAAUUGCAGUGGAUACUGGGCGACUAGAGUGUGGUAGAGGGUAGUGGAAUUCCCGGUGUAGCAGUGAAAUGCGUAGAGAUCGGGAGGAACAUCCAUGGCGAAGGCAGCUACCUGGACCAACACUGACACUGAGGCACGAAAGCGUGGGAGCAAACAGG
RNAcentral lists this ribosomal RNA (252 nucleotides) under uncultured bacterium. RNAcentral describes it as "partial 16S ribosomal RNA". It matches the Rfam family "Bacterial small subunit ribosomal RNA", at positions 524 to 776 of the family's 1533-position model. The record is from RNAcentral.